RNAcentral lists this long non-coding RNA (6886 nucleotides) under Homo sapiens (human). Its description in RNAcentral is "non-protein coding LINC02062:18". The record is from RNAcentral. Lineage: Eukaryota; Metazoa; Chordata; Mammalia; Primates; Hominidae.
AGAAAGUACCGAGACAGCCAACUGAGAGCAGAGCUGUCCUCCGACCUCAGCAAAGAGAAUUCACUCCUACGAUUAUUUCCAUUCCACAAGAGAGGGAGGGAAACAGAUUGUUACCAACUCAAUGAUAGCAAAGUCUGCAUCUGGAUCAGGAUGUUAAUUCUCUAGACUACUGUCCAGUAGACUCUGCAAGAACAGGUUAUCUAAAAAGUAACCGUUCUACUCAACAUUUAUUCCUAAUGUUAAAUAUUAAUCUCAACCCUAGUCAAAGUGCCUUACUGAACAAUUAAGUCUUAAAAAAUCUAAGUAUGUUAACAAACUGCCUUUCCCGUUUCUUCCUUUAAAAAGUUCACUCCCCUUUUCGUUCUUUCCUUUUCACCUUCCUUUCGUCCCUCAAAAUGGCUUUCUCUGUACAUUUUAACUUCCUUUCCCCUCCAUCUCCCUUAUCCGAAUAAGUCCUCUGAGACCCUUUUCACAACCCUGAGUUCUGAAGCUCCAAGCGCACACAGCGCUGUGUCCUCUCAAGCGUCUCCACAAUGACUACCCUAAGUUAUUAAACCUCUUCAAUCCUCUGUCUUUUAGCAGUUGCUUUGCUCCUGCUAAGUUUUUAAAGCGGCACUCGAAAGAGGUUUGGAAACCAUCCUCACUCAUCCAUCCAGCGCGCUCCAAUCAGCCUCCCUCGCGGACCUGCCCCCCUCUCCCAGGGCCUCCAUCCCGGUCCAGGAGUCCCUCUUCCCGCCUCAAACUUCCCGCAGACCCGCCCCGCGCCCUCCCAGGCUCGCCCGAGCCGCCGCCCCCUCCCCCUCCCGCCGCUCCCCACGUGCUGGGAGCCCGGGUCGCGGCAGGACCCACGCACCGGCUAAGUGCUAGCCAUUCGCGGGUCUCCUCUCGCGGCCCGGUCGGCACCAAGCCGAAGAGGCCGGGGCAGGGCCGCCGGGCCGGCGCAAGGAUGCGUUCUGCGGCCCCGGCCUGUACUCGCCGCUCACACGCCCCCUGCGCGCCAGGCCCGUACACCGCCACCGGCACUCACAGAGCCACCCGGCCUUCACCCGGCCGCUGGGCCGCCGCCUGGGCACCGCGCCGCGCCCGCCCUCCGCCCGGCCGGUUCCUGUCCUCUCCGCCACAUCCUGACCCGCCCGCCGCCCCCUUUCUUACCGGCGGGCUUGGCGGGGCGGAGGGAGCCGACUCGGGUGGACGGCCUCCCCCGCGCCCAGGCCCGGGAUCUCCGCCGCCCAGUCCUAGGGCUCCGGCGUCUCGGGGUAAGCAAGAGUCCGUGCGGGGGAGGGGGAAGGGGACAGACGCGGAGGGGAAGGGGAAGCCCCGGUCCGCAGCACCAACGCGCGAUCCCCUGCGGAGUGGAGCUAACAAUUCAUUAUUGAAGCACCAAGGGCGAGGGCAGCAAGAGCUAUAAGUAACCAGUCGUCGCCGCCGCCGCCGCCGCCGUCGCGCGCGCGCUCCCGCUCCCUCCGCUUAUCUGCCCCCGGCAGCCGCCAUGACGCCGAGAAAGCAAGCGAGCGCAACCGUCUCCGUCGUAGCCGCCGCCGCCACCGAGGUCGCCGUCGCCUCCGCCUCCCGCGCGACGUAAGCGCCUCUGCUCACUCCCCUUCCCGACAGAGCGCGAGGCGGGCGGGCGCGCGCACGCCGAAGCCUUUCUGCUCGCGCGCGGGAGGCGGGAGGGACUACGUUGAAGGGUCGUGGGCGUAGGAAAAAAGCGAUUGGUGCUGGGGCGGGGCGGGGGGGGCGAGUGCGCGCACGCGCACGAAUGGGAGUGCGCACGGCGGAUGCGCAGAGGCUGUCGGACUCUGACUGCGCGGAGACCGCUGGACUCUGGUCGCGGCCUUAGUCCGCUGAUCCUCGCUUGGGUGCCCGCCCUUAGCGGCCCGGCGUUGAAUUCCGGGAAGUGGGAGCUUCAGGCUCGCUCCGUGCGGGUAUGGGCGCUAAUGUCACUUGGGAUGGUUGCGCAAGGACAUCGCGGCGGACACUGACAAGGAACCGGGGAGGAACGGGGGUGGGGAGAGACUGCGAUGGGACUCGGGAAGCCGGGAAGGGCCGCGCUGAAUAAGCCUAAGGGGCCGGGUCGCAAGGAGUGUCGGGUAGCACAGGCCUCGGCUCAGUCGGAGCGCCAGGCCUCAGGGUCCGGGCGGGGGCUGCUGCGUCACACCAGGCAGCCUGGGAACGCAACUGUUGGGCAACCGUGGUGGCCUCUCGCCACCUCUUACGCUUGGGCGAUCUGCGAUUGACGCAUCCUGGGAGCUGAUGUCCCGCACGGGCGGGGCGCCGGAGGAGGAGAGAAAAUAGAGACCCGGUUGUUGACAGCCUGUGAUGCCGCUUGAUUCAUGUGUGGGUGGCCUGGUUUAGAAAUGUACCACCCUUCCUUUCUAGGUUCCUCCCCGGAGGGCGGGGUGACGGGUGCGGCGCCGAAUCGCAACAAAAAACGCUGCUCGAGGGAUGUUAGUAACUGUCUCAGCUUAAGUUGCUGCCUUUUAGCUUACAGUUUGUAUCGUAACUGUAAUUGUGGAUCUUAGUUAAAUCCCUUCAGUGUGUUGGAAACAUAUUUUUAAGUGUAUUUUUGAAACAUACUUAGAGCAUUUUGAAAUGCUUUUUUGAAAGCGUUUUUUAAAUCAAAAUUCUGUUACACUUUAUUUUUUUCAGUCUGCAGAUGAACUUGACUCACUCAAGGUUAAUGAUUUUUGUUUUUUAUUUAUGUUUGUAGAGGCGGGGUUUUGUCAUGUUGCUAGGUUGGUGUUGAACUCCUGAGCUCGAGCGAUCCACCUGCCACUGCCUUCCAAAGUGCUGGAAUUACAGGCGUGAGCCACGGCGCCCGGUGGCCGAGGUUAAUAAUAAUUAAAAGUUUCUAAUCCCAUUGUUCAGUUAUUUGAUUUGGUGUAAAGGCGCACUUUCCAAGUCAGAUGAGUUUGUGGUAACAUACAUUCCCCAAAUAAUUAUUUUUCCCUUGUGGGAAAUAUUCCAGUUUUAGGCUACCAGCUGUUUAAACAGUUUGGUUCAAAUCCUUCAAAAAAAUCUCAAAACAUAACUCCACAUAUGUAUUUACUACAUAUUGAAGGGUGUAUUCACUUGGAGAAGUAGGAGAAAGCAAACAGAUGCCAAUGGCCUUUUUGAAAACAUGUAUCUAUCAGCAAUAAUUGAAUAGCAAAACGAAGUGGAACACUACCAUCCUUUGCAAUAUUAGAUAGUUUUAAUACUGGGUUGUGAGGAAUGAAAAGAUCAUACAAAUCGUCAUUUCUGAAGUCAUUUCUGAAGUCGUCAUUUCUGAACUGAGUGCUAAUUUUUCAUAUUAAGCUUUAUGUUAAUAUCCUUAAUGAGAGGAACUUCCUGUGCCCGUAAUUUCUCCAGAGAAACUAUUAACAUACACAGAAUGUUGUAAUCAGAAGUAUAGUUCAGUUAAUAAAGUCCUCAAUUACAACUCUGACAUUUUGUCAUUGUCUUAUGAAAAGAAUUACUGUAUAUACAGUCUAUUUUACGUUUUCCGGAAGCACGUCAGGCAGGUUUUUUGUUUUUUUACUACUAAUUGUGCCAUUGAAUAUGCUAUUCUGUCGUAUUGUGCCAUCAAACAUGCUAUUCGAAAAAAGAUCUUGCCCAAUUUGUAAUAAAAUAUUGAACAUUGGAGAUUUAGAUUUCGAGUAAAAUCAUACUUUAUUGCUUUGCAGAAGUACACAGUAGGUGGAAAAUUGCAACAAUCUUGCCAGUUCAUUUUUUAAAAAGCGUGUAGGUAAUCCAAAGAUACCUUUUUGAUGAUUUGUUAUCAACAUAGUUAAAUUUGCAGUGUCACUUUAUUUGAAUAAACUAGCUUUAUCUCUACUUAGUGGUACUAAAACAAUAGCCAAACAGUUGAUAAUCUCAACACAUGACUAACGAAAAAUUCCACAUAAUUAACAUUAACCAGGAGGUUUUUGUUACUAUUUAAUUUCUCAUUUUUAAAAUUUCAUAUUCUUUGGAAAGAAUAUUACUUUUCCGGAAUCUAAGACAGCAUUUUGUGGGUCCUUAAUUGUGAUAUGCUUUACUAGGUAAAGUACUAAAUGGGUAUCCUUAGGUGGGGAUAGGCUGGGAACCACAUAUCCAGAAUUGUGAAAUAUAUAACAUAAACAGGAUAACUUGCUCCUUUGUUAGCUUUUUGGAUGCCAGGGUUAAGAUUUUAAUUCCAUAAUUAUGUCCUUGUUGCCUGGAGGAUUUGCAUAUGAGAAACCACAAAAACAAUCGGGACAUUAUUAAAAUACCCUAGAAUCUCAACCUGUGACAGUAUUUCCCAUGUCCUUGCAAAACCAGAGGAAGUCUUUCCAAUAUGAUUCUUAAAUUUACAAAGUCCUCUGAAUAGAAACCAUGAAAUCCUAAGUCAUCUUCUAGUGAAGAUUUGCUGUACAUUUUCUGUUUUCCUAAUAAGAAAUUAGAGGAGUUUAGUUCCCAGUGUUGGGCAAGGGAUAGGACUCAGUCACCUGGAAAGUUCUUUUGUAACUACACGUGCCUGACACUCCUAUUCUUCCCCUCUGCUGAUAUGCAGAAUUUCUAGGUUCUAGGUAGUAUUUGGGAAGUUUCCCAGAUUAUUCUGAUAUCUACCAGCGGCUCAUCCACCUUCUUUAUGGUCACUGUAUUUGGGGAUUUUGAAUGAUAAAUUCUUGAAUCACUAAAAGCUAAAUUUCAAACAGAAAAUUGUUAGAGAUGAUACUAAGAGGCAAGUAUGUAUAAAAUCUAAUAGGCAUUGAAGAAGAUACAAAGAUUCCAUCCUCUACUGAAAAAUUAAGUGUGCACGCAGAGUAAGAAAGAAGGUUAAGUAGCCAACCUCAAAAAUAUUUAAAAAUUAUUGCAUUGAUGCUGUAUCACUCAUUUCCUUGCCCAGAUUCUUUUUUUUUUUUUUUUUUUUUGAGACAGAGUCUCACUUUGUCACCCAGGCUGGAGUGCAGUGGUGCUAUCUCAUUUCACUGCAAUCUCCGCUUUCUGGGUUCAAGUGAUUCUCAUGCCUCAGCCUUCCAAGUAGCUGGGACUACAGGCACGCGCCACCACACCCAGCUAAUUUUGUGUACUUUUAGUAGAGACUGGGUUUCACCAUGUUGGCAAGGCUGGUGUCAAACUCCUGACCUCAGGUGAUCUGCCUGCUUCAGCCUCCCAAAGUGCUGGGAUUACAGGUGUGAGCCACCAUGCCCAGCCCUUGCCCAGAUUCUUUAUUCACUGCUGUCCAAAUACUGUUGGUCCUCUGUACCUGCAGGGAUUUGCAGGUACAGAGGCUCAACUAUAAGGGACUUGAGCAUCCCCAGGUUUUGGUAAAUGGGGGUCCUGGAACUAAUUCUCUGCAGAUACUGAGGGACAAACGGUACCACUCAUUUUAAUGCAGAAAUUUUGUAUUCAUCCUUUCUUUUUAACUCCCACUACCGGGCUUAGUUUAGGCCUCUAUUUUCUCUAUCUUUCCCUUCAGCUUAUCCUUUAGGUUUCCUUCAAACUUGAAAUCUAACUAAAUCAGUCCCCUGUUAUAUACCACAUAUAUUUGUAAACUAAACAUAUAUGAAGAUGUAUGUACAUAUCAUAUAUUCCUAGUAUUUUAGUUACUUAAUUUUUUCACAGACUAAUCUCAGUAUUGCCUCUCAUCAUUCCUAAUGGACACUUGGUACUCUAGACACUUCUUCAGGUCACUGGAAAGGUAUCUCUCAUUGUAAGUGGAUAUAACCCAUUUAUCUUAUGGGUCAGUCUUUCAUAAGUUCGUUUAAGUAAAUGCUCAAGAACUGUUGAGUACCUUGACACAAUUGUGCUGACAACCUAUAAGACUUGUCAGAAAACUCUCUGACCUCCCUUUUAGGACAUGGAAUUGAGUAUUCUGUAAGUGCGGCAUGUCAUUGUAUCACAAUAUAGCAUUUGUUUCCAUACUACAUUGUGAGGUCCUUGAGCAAAGAGUACUGUGCCCCAGUGCAUUGUAUUGAUAUUCAUUCAAUACAAAUGUAAGAAUGUAUUACAUACCAGACAUUCUGCUGAGGGUAGGGAGGGAUUAUAAUACAGCAAAAACUAACACUUUCAAAGUUAAAGCCUAGUUCAGGACACAGUCACACUAUAAAAUGACAACUUAGAAAAAUAGUAUGAAGAGACAUACGGUGCUGUGAGAAUCCAUAAUAAAGAACCCUAGUCAGAAAAGUCUCAAGGAAGUGACGUGAUCGUUGUGGUCUAGAGCUGAAGAAUUAAUAUGAAUUAGGUAGGCAAGAAAGGGAAGUACAAGAGCUGCUUUCUGGGUAAAAGAAACAACAUGGGCAAAGAUUCUGGGGUCAGAGAGAUCACGUCAGUGCACUUGCCAGUUUGCCAAGAACAGGCCGUAUUCACUUUCAGAAGUGUUCAGGUUUGGAUAGUAAAUUGCAGGGCCAUCCUAUCUAUAAGGGACUCUAAGAAGCAUGGUUCUGCUGGAGCAAACAGCAGCUGGACAAGAUGAGGCUACAUAGACACUAGGCCCAAAGGCUAAGUGAAGUAUGUUUUUCAAGACAAUGAGGAAGCUAUUGAAGGAUUUGAAACUGGGUGGUAGCUUGAUGGGACUGGCAAAUUGAAAGUUUUUACUUUAGGUAUAAAUCCCAAAGAAGGAUUAGAUGUGGGUUGAAGUAGAUACAGUAUUCCUAAUUAAGUCAGGAGUCUUUGGCAGAUAAGAGAGGUUAGAAAUGACAUGAUAGACUAGGAUAGUGUAAUGGAGGUGGAGAGAAGUAGAAUUGGGAAGGGUAACAAAACUUGAUGGGAUUGGAUUCAGGCAGGGUUAGGAGGAGGAGGGAUGUUAGUCAUUUGCAGCUGAAUGACAUUCACUUAUAUAGUAAUGUAUUUGGAGAUGUAUAGAUAGGGAGAUCAUUACGUUUGGUUUAAGACAGAAUUGGGCCGGGUGUGAUGGCUCAUCCCAGCACUUUGGGAGGCCAAA